Long non-coding RNA from Neofelis nebulosa (Clouded leopard), 646 nucleotides. RefSeq lists it as uncharacterized. The record is from RefSeq and is a predicted model, not a curated record. The transcript is spliced from 2 exons. Lineage: Eukaryota; Metazoa; Chordata; Mammalia; Carnivora; Felidae.
GUCGCGUGAUUCCCCCUCCCUGUGCUACAGAUGGGGCCCAGCAAGCAGGCGGGCCCGGCAUGUGGCUCUGGGGAUGGGCUGCUGACGCUUCCUCCACACUAAGGCUCGUGCGGCUCGGAGGGGCCCUGUGCGCGUGUGUGCGUGUAUGUGUCGUCCGUGUGCACGCCUGCUAUUUACGCCCUUUGCCGGUUGUGCGGAGAGCGCUGUUUUAACGGUAGUAGACGCGGCCUGGGUGGUGGCACGACCCGGCUGGUGCCGUCACACAUAAGUGGGGGGCACACGGCGUCCGAAGGUGUAGUUUUCUGCUACCGAUGAAGCGAAUACGAUGUGCGUUUUAUCUUUCGGGUUCUAGCCGUGUUCUUCCUGUGUUUUGUGCCGGUGAGCACAGCCUGACGGCGAACAGGAGAUUCCUGUGUCCUAAACAGGGGUAUCAAUCAUGUUCUCGAACGCGAAGGGACAUUUUCAAUUUGCCAGCGUGUGAUACCCCACGACUUCACAAAGUCUCCCAGCCCUCAGAGUGAGUGGCAUUUAAUACCAGACAACAUCGCAGGGGUGAGGGCUGGCUCUGGCCUAUUCAAAUGCCACUGCCACCACGCAGACUCGCCCAGCGCCGUUAUAAUUAAAGACUUUAUGCCUCUCUUGCAAA